CUGAAGGAGGGGAGUGUAGUGCAUACCUUUUGUACAAUAGCCUACCAGUCAGAGCACUUGCCCAGGAAGUCAGAACGCGCUGAGGCCCUUCUACAAUCUUUGCUGUACAGCAGCACAUCUUCAACAGGAGGGACUGAGAACACUCCUGGUCACAUCUAAGACGUAAGAGCUGUGGGUUUGAGCUGCCUGAAGUAGACUUGACCCUCACUCAACCACUGUGUGACGUCUCUAUUUUUUCCAGGAGUGAUUAGUUGGAGGCUGGCCUGCCCUGCUUUGAGUUCUGAUAUGGGUCUGUUUUCUUUUGCCCUGACAAGAGCCUACCACACCCAAGUUUCGUACCGGAACACCUCAAACCAAAAAGCAUUCACACUUCAGGCAAACUUUCCUUUGCAGCUGAAGAAGUUAUGGGUGCAUCACAGAUGAGUGAAUCUGCUGGAAAUACUGGUUGUAAUACAUGCCAAUGUACAAUGCACUUUAUUUAGCUGCAAAGCAAGUAAGAGCUAUUUAUGUCCUUGCUGGUUGGUAACACCUACAUGUCCCCAUGCCUACUUUAGAAAUUAGGGCCCAGUGAAAUAAAUCUGACUUAGUAUCCUGUAAAGAAA
Molecule: long non-coding RNA, 602 nt
Organism: Alligator sinensis (Chinese alligator)
Lineage: Eukaryota; Metazoa; Chordata; Crocodylia; Alligatoridae
Exons: 3
Source: RefSeq, a predicted model, not a curated record